AGUGAACGCUGGCGGUAGGCCUAACACAUGCAAGUCGAACGGCAGCACAGUAAGAGCUUGCUCUUACGGGUGGCGAGUGGCGGACGGGUGAGGAAUACAACGGACUCUACUUUUUCGUGUGGGUUAACGUAGGGAAACUUACGCUCAUACCGCAUACGACCUACGGGUGAAGGCAGGGGAUCGUCGGACCUUGCGCGAUUGAAUGAGCCGAUGUCGGAUUAGCUAGUUGGCGGGGUAAUGGCCCACCAAGGCGACGAUCCGUAGCUGGUGUGAGAGGAUGGUCAGCCACACUGGAGCGUAGACACGGUCCAGACUACUACGGGAGGCAGCAGUGGGGAAUAUGAGACAAUGGGCGCGAGCCUGAUCCAGCCAGACCGCGUGUGUGAAGAAGGCCUUCGGGUUGUAAAGCCCUUUUGUUGGGAAAGAAAAGCAGCAGGUUAAUACCACGCUGUUCUGACGGUACUCAAAGAAUAAGCACCGGCUAACUUCGUG
Molecule: ribosomal RNA, 492 nt
Filed under: uncultured bacterium
Lineage: Bacteria
Description: partial 16S ribosomal RNA
Rfam family: Bacterial small subunit ribosomal RNA
Source: RNAcentral